UCACUUUCAACAACGGAUCUCUUGGCUCUCGCAUCGAUGAAGAACGUAGCGAAGUGCGAUAAGUAAUGUGAAUUGCAGAAUUCCGUGAAUCAUC
This 94-nucleotide ribosomal RNA is filed under the name uncultured Glomus. RNAcentral describes it as "partial 5.8S ribosomal RNA". It matches the Rfam family "5.8S ribosomal RNA", at positions 1 to 93 of the family's 154-position model. Rfam says of the family: 5.8S ribosomal RNA (5.8S rRNA) is a component of the large subunit of the eukaryotic ribosome. It is transcribed by RNA polymerase I as part of the 45S precursor that also contains 18S and 28S rRNA. The record is from RNAcentral. Lineage: Eukaryota; Fungi; Glomeromycota; Glomeromycetes; Glomerales; Glomeraceae.